Molecule: ribosomal RNA, 940 nt
Filed under: uncultured Bacillota bacterium
Lineage: Bacteria; Bacillati; Bacillota
Description: bacterial SSU rRNA
Rfam family: Bacterial small subunit ribosomal RNA
Source: RNAcentral
UGGAUCCAGACUUUGAUUAUGGCUCAGGACGAACGCUGGCGGCGUGCUUAACACAUGCAAGUCGAACGGGGUGUUUAUUUCGGUAAACACCAAGUGGCGAACGGGUGAGUAACGCGUAAGCAAUCUACCUUCAAGAUGGGGACAACACUUCGAAAGGGGUGCUAAUACCGAAUGAAUGUAAGAGUAUCGCAUGAGACACUUACUAAAGGAGGCCUCUGACAUAAGCUUCUGCUUGAAGAUGAGCUCGCGUCUGAUUAGCUAGUUGGUGAGGGUAAAGGCCCACCAAGGCGACGAUCAGUAGCCGGUCUGAGAGGAUGAACGGCCACAUUGGGACUGAGACACGGCCCAGACUCCUACGGGAGGCAGCAGUGGGGAAUCUUCCGCAAUGGGCGAAAGCCUGACGGAGCAACGCCGCGUGAACGAUGAAGGUCUUAGGAUCGUAAAGUUCUGUUGUUAGGGACGAAGGGUAAGGAUCAUAAUAAGGUUUUUAUUUGACGGUACCUAACGAGGAAGCCACGGCUAACUACGUGCCAGCAGCCGCGGUAAUACGUAGGCGGCAAGCGUUGUCCGGACUUAUUGGGCGUAAAGGGAGCGCAGGCGGGAAACUAAGCGGAUCUUAAAAGUGCGGGGCUCAACCCCGUGAUGGGGUCCGAACUGGUUUUCUUGAGUGCAGGAGAGGAAAGCGGAAUUCCCAGUGUAGCGGUGAAAUGCGUAGAUAUUGGGAAGAACACCAGUGGCGAAGGCGGCUUUCUGGACUGUAACUGACGCUGAGGCUCGAAAGCUAGGGUAGCGAACGGGAUUAGAUACCCCGGUAGUCCUAGCCGUAAACGAUGGAUACUAGGUGUGGGAGGUAUCGACUCCUUCCGUGCCGGAGUUAACGCAAUAAGUAUCCCGCCUGGGGAGUACGGCCGCAAGGUUGCAACUCAAAUGAAUUGACGGA